UCCGAUAUGGUCUAGUGGCUAGGAUACCUGGGUCUCACCCAAGAGGUCCAGGGCCGAUUCCCGGUACCGGAA
RNAcentral lists this transfer RNA (72 nucleotides) under Rhodnius prolixus. It matches the Rfam family "tRNA". From Rfam's summary of the family: Transfer RNA (tRNA) molecules are approximately 80 nucleotides in length. Their secondary structure includes four short double-helical elements and three loops (D, anti-codon, and T loops). Further hydrogen bonds mediate the characteristic L-shaped molecular structure. tRNAs have two regions of fundamental functional importance: the anti-codon, which is responsible for specific mRNA codon recognition, and the 3' end, to which the tRNAs corresponding amino acid is attached (by aminoacyl-tRNA synthetases). tRNAs cope with the degeneracy of the genetic code in two manners: having more than one tRNA (with a specific anti-codon) for a particular amino acid; and 'wobble' base-pairing, i.e. permitting non-standard base-pairing at the 3rd anti-codon position. The record is from Rfam by way of RNAcentral. Lineage: Eukaryota; Metazoa; Arthropoda; Insecta; Hemiptera; Reduviidae.